This 217-nucleotide ribosomal RNA is filed under the name uncultured bacterium. RNAcentral describes it as "partial 16S ribosomal RNA". The stretch from base 28 to 217 matches the Rfam family "Bacterial large subunit ribosomal RNA", at positions 1 to 190 of the family's 2925-position model. The record is from RNAcentral.
AGCUUUUUGGAGCAAGGGCGAAGAGAGGUUCAAGCGACAAAGGGCAGACGGGGGAUGCCUUGGCAGCAAUAGGCGAUGAAGGACGCGGCGAGCUGCGAAAAGCUCCGGGGAGUCGCUCACAGGCGUUGAUCCGGAGGAAUCCGAAUGGGGGAACCCCCGCUGGGGUAAAGCCCAGCGAGCCUUGCCUGAAUCCAUAGGGCAAGGCACACAGGGGAUA